GAACUUUCCCCUGCCAUCUGUACCCAGAAGACAUUGCUUCGCUACACAGCAGUUGUCGGAGGGCACAGGAAGCCGAACACCUGGGCGGUGGCCCCAGAUGGCUGACAGCUUCAGGAGCCAGGCUGCAGGAUGGCAGAGGAUCUUUACAUCUAAAGGGCCACUCUCCAUGGCCCUGUCUUGGCCAGCUCCUUGUGACACUGCAACUCCGGGCAAUGUUUCCUGACCCUGACCGUGCAGCCAUUUUGGUGGAACUGUCAGCAGAGCCUGAGGUACAAGGUUCUGCCUAUGCUGAAGAUGAAGAGGAUGCUGAAGAUGAAGAGGAUGCUGAAGAUGAAGAGGAUGCUGAAGAUGAAGAGCCAACUGGGGAAAUGGCUGCAGACUGCUAAGCUGUAGUCCCUCGCUCUCCUGUUCAUCUGUACACGUGGGCUGUCAGCGACGGGACUGGUGGCAGCUGAGGAAACACGUUCUGACAAAUGUUCAUCGGGGAGAGCAAAGCAAAAUGGUCAGGGAGUGGAGAGAAGCAGCCAUCCAUGUGGAGCGGGAAGCAAGGACGUGAACUGGUGAAGCGGCUGCCCUUCCUCAAGCUCUGCCGUCAGCUUGAUACCUGAGAAAAUAAACGGAGGAAAUCUUA
RNAcentral lists this long non-coding RNA (631 nucleotides) under Mus caroli (Ryukyu mouse). RNAcentral's name for it is "lncRNA (MGP_CAROLIEiJ_G0005932.1)". The record is from RNAcentral. Lineage: Eukaryota; Metazoa; Chordata; Mammalia; Rodentia; Muridae.